This 770-nucleotide long non-coding RNA is filed under the name Homo sapiens (human). RNAcentral describes it as "HSALNT0293076". The record is from RNAcentral. Lineage: Eukaryota; Metazoa; Chordata; Mammalia; Primates; Hominidae.
UCACCCCACCUUGAACCCCCACCCUUGCAUUUCAGUUGUAAAUGUGGCUGCUACAUGAAUUAGUAGUGAACCUGACUGGGUCAUGCUUCAGCUUUGAAGGAAGAGCAAUGGCUUAGGAAUGAAUCACAGCGAUUAACCGUGAGUCGGUGUCUUCUUAAGCACGUAUCCAAUUGAGAACACCACAUACACCUAGUCAUCAUGUCUCUUCAGUCAGAGGACACAGCAUUUAAUGUUGAAUGCUAAAAAAGAAUUUCUGAGUCUUUCCAAGAGGAAACAAUGUUGGAAGAACCCCAGGAGUCUGUCUUCCCAAUUGCCCUGUUUUCUACUUCUCCUAAGGAUGAGAUGAGCAUUAUUCUCAAUACCAAGAGGUGAAAGCAACCCAAAUGUCCACUGACAUAUAAAUGGAUACAGAGAAUGGAGUAUAUACAUACAGUGGAAUAUUACUUAGCUUAAAAAGAGAAGGAAAUUCUGUCAUGUGCUAUAACAUUGAUGAACCCUGAAGACAUUAUGGUAAGUAAAAUAAGCCCAGUCGCAAAGAGACCAACACUGUAUGAUUCCACCUGUAUAAGGCAUCUAAAUUGGUCCAACUCAUAGAAAGCAGAAUUGUGGAUGUCAGGGGCUGUGAGGAAGGGGAAAUAGAGAGUUGUUUUUCGAUGGGUAUAGAGUUUCAGUUUUGCAAAAUGAAAAACUUUUAGAGAUCUAUUGCACAACAAUGUGACUAUUGUUAACACUAUUGAACUAUACACUUAGAAAUGGUCAAGAUGCUAAUU